RNAcentral lists this long non-coding RNA (239 nucleotides) under Manihot esculenta (cassava). RNAcentral describes it as "long non-coding RNA (MESC_LNC004831)". Lineage: Eukaryota; Viridiplantae; Streptophyta; Magnoliopsida; Malpighiales; Euphorbiaceae. The record is from RNAcentral.
UCACCUUGCUUUGCUUACUUGGACGACGCACCUCCUCUCUUCUCUUCUUCAAUAUCUCUACUGAGUGUAUAUAUAUAUGAUCUUGUGACUCAGCGGUGGGUCUCAUCGCCCACCAUGCAUUUUGCCCAUCAUCAAUAUCUUCAUCCAUUCAUUGCCCUCCCUCUCUGUUUUUCAACUGAGAUUCUUUAAUACAGGUUCGGAGGACAAUCAGCACACCCCAUUCCAUUACUGUUUUUAUU